This 253-nucleotide ribosomal RNA is filed under the name uncultured bacterium. Its description in RNAcentral is "partial 16S ribosomal RNA". It matches the Rfam family "Bacterial small subunit ribosomal RNA", at positions 524 to 776 of the family's 1533-position model. The record is from RNAcentral.
GACGUAGGGCGCAAGCGUUGUCCGGAUUUAUUGGGCGUAAAGAGCUCGUAGGCGGCUUGUCGCGUCGACUGUGAAAACCCGCAGCUUAACUGCGGGACUGCAGUCGAUACGGGCAGGCUAGAGUUCGGUAGGGGAGACUGGAAUUCCUGGUGUAGCGGUGAAAUGCGCAGAUAUCAAGUGGAACACCAGUGGCGAAGGCGAGUCCCUGGACAACUCCUGACACUGAGGCACGAAAGCUAGGGGAGCAAACAGG